The sequence is an unclassified non-coding RNA, 359 nucleotides long. Its record names the gene 7SK. It matches the Rfam family "7SK RNA". From Rfam's summary of the family: 7SK was discovered as an abundant small nuclear RNA in the mid-70s but a possible function has only recently been suggested. Two independent studies have found that 7SK RNA binds the CDK9/cyclin T complex (known as elongation factor P-TEFb). P-TEFb activates transcription by phosphorylating the C-terminal domain of RNA polymerase II. The record is from Ensembl.
GGCAACCACAAAAAUCUGGCUGCAACAUCUGUCACCCCAUUGAUCACCAGGGUUGAUUCGGCUGGUCUGGCUGGUGAGGCGGGUCCCCUUCUUUCCUCACUGCUCCAUGUCCGUCCCUCCCAAGGCAGCAUGCUUGGUUGAAAAGGACAACCAUCCCUGAUAGAGGAGGACUGUUCUUUGGUCAAAGGUAUAUGACUACCUGCACUCCCCUGGUAGAAGCUCCAAACAAGCGCUCACAAGAUUUUGACCUUGCCUCUGCAAUCUCAUUAGCCACUUCCUAAAAGAAAUCUAACACUGGAGGUAGAGAUAGACAUAUAGAUAGAGAUAGAUAAACUUUAGAUGUGUGUUCUGUUCAUUCU